Molecule: unclassified non-coding RNA, 663 nt
Filed under: Hevea brasiliensis (rubber tree)
Lineage: Eukaryota; Viridiplantae; Streptophyta; Magnoliopsida; Malpighiales; Euphorbiaceae
Source: RNAcentral
AAAAAAUUUUGGUCUUCCAUCCCUCUUUUUAGUUCAUUUCAGAAAUACUGUAAAAGAUGCCAGUUUUAUUGCAUAUUUUCUGGCUUAAACAGAGCUUUACAUUGCACAACCACAGGGUUUUAUAAUCAUUUAGGAAAUAAAAAGAAUGGAUGAAAAGGCUAAAAUAACAAAUUAUGGGCAUUGCACUCAACAUAUAGAUAACUGCUAAAUUAAACCUGAAGGAGGAACAGCUAAUGCUGACCAGGAAAAAGUAUGUUGAGAUUUGGAAAAUUAGAUGGGGGUAGGGGGAGGUUUAAGUCAUAUGAUGAAAAGAUCCACUAUUCUCCCCUUGAAGAGUAUUCUGACUUGUGAAUGUUCUUCCAAAUUAUUUAUAGAACCACAAGGAAUCGAGAUUCUGUGAAAUAUGAAAUCUUCAUUCAGGCCCAAGUUUAUAUCUAGCUUUCUAUUAAAGGAGUUGGAACAUUCUGAACAAAUUAAAUGUGGCAGAUAUUGAUCUAAUUUGGGCCUAAUAAUAGGACCUAGUAAUGGUCUGAAUCUAUGUCUUGGCCUUUAAGGCAUGGAAUUAAGGAUAUCCCACUUCUUAGUUCUUGAAAUAUAUGUUGCUUUUUUGGACUGAAUAUUGGAAAAGGAAACACACAGAGAGAAGCUCUCAAAUGCUCAAUU